Molecule: ribosomal RNA, 496 nt
Filed under: uncultured bacterium
Lineage: Bacteria
Description: partial 16S ribosomal RNA
Rfam family: Bacterial small subunit ribosomal RNA
Source: RNAcentral
AUGAACGCUGGCGGCGUGCCUCAUACCUGCAAGUCGAGCGAACAGACGAGGAGCUUGCUCCUCUGACGUUAGCGGCGGACGGGUGAGUAACACGUGGAUAACCUACCUAUAAGACUGGGAUAACUUCGGGAAACCGGAGCUAAUACCGGAUAAUAUAUUGAACCGCAUGGUUCAAUAGUGAAAGACGGUUUUGCUGUCACUUAUAGAUGGAUCCGCGCCGCAUUAGCUAGUUGGUAAGGUAACGGCUUACCAAGGCAACGAUGCGUAGCCGACCUGAGAGGGUGAUCGGCCACACUGGAACUGAGACACGGACCAGACUCCUACGGGAGGCAGCAGUAGGGAAUCUUACGCAAUGGGCGAAAGCCUGACGGAGCAACGCCGCGUGAGUGAUGAAGGUCUUCGGAUCGUAAAACUCUGUUAUUAGGGAAGAACAAAUGUGUAAGUAACUAUGCACGUCUUGACGGUACCUAAUCAGAAAGCCACGGCUAACUACGUG